Populus euphratica (Euphrates poplar) is the source of this 310-nucleotide long non-coding RNA. RefSeq lists it as uncharacterized. Lineage: Eukaryota; Viridiplantae; Streptophyta; Magnoliopsida; Malpighiales; Salicaceae. The transcript has 2 exons. The record is from RefSeq and is a predicted model, not a curated record.
CUAUCUAACAGUCAAAACACAUGCAAGCCUCUCUUGAAAACUUGAGCUCACGGUUGUGGUGGACAGGAUAACUGUGAUGACCACCAACACCCUCUCCUCUCUAGCUUGAAGAGUCACGGAGAUUUAACACUUUCGACCAUAUAAUUUUCAGAGUAGCAGAUGCAAUGAUGGUUCACAUACAACUAGUUUAACGUUUUCAUUCGUGGUUCCCUCCCCUCUUUACAGACUAAAUGCAAAAGUGAACAUUAGAUAUGCUGGUUUUCUGGUGAAUUAAACUAAACAUUCCCCACCACAUUGUUAAAUCCUCCCU